RNAcentral lists this long non-coding RNA (966 nucleotides) under Callithrix jacchus (white-tufted-ear marmoset). RNAcentral's name for it is "lncRNA (ENSCJAG00000049087.3)". Lineage: Eukaryota; Metazoa; Chordata; Mammalia; Primates; Cebidae. The record is from RNAcentral.
AAUGUGGCUCUAGUUAUUUCUUUCCCUUAAUCAUUCUUUUUCUUUCUUUUUUGCAGGAGAACAUUUCCACGAAGCACAAUCACUGAAGAACAGAAUGUCCUGAUGUUUGGGUGGAUGAGAUGCAACUUACGUAAUGAGAAUGGAGGCGUUUCAGGCAAUGUGACAGAGACAUGUGCAGAUGAAGAAGGAUUUUCAGCCCCUCUGCGGGAAACUGGAAUUGGCAAAUGGUUACUCAGUAAGUGAAGAGAACUGACUUCAUCAUCCUCAGCAAAGUUUCCAGUGCUACAAGAAUUCAAGCCUUACAGCUCUGCUCCUACAAUUGUCAGAGGCCUCUUGGGGAUGGCAAGUACAAAGGAGACUGAAGAAAGACAUAUUCCAGUCACCCCCAAGUUCAUUUCCACUUCAGGCUGAGAGCCUGCUGGCCAAGGGGAAGCUCUGUCUCUUUCAAUUUGGUUUGAAUUGAGACCAUCCAUCCUGGCCUUCUGCUUAGCUGCCCCGAAAGGCAGGCAGUUGAUGAAUGGAGCGUACUACAAAAGAAAGCCGGCGGGCACACAUGGGUCUGGUGACGCUUCUGUCAGGGCGGCUCAAAGGGAAGGCUGCACCACAUGGAUAUCUUUCUGGUUCAGAAAGGGUUAAAUCACUGGUUUUGGCCUUAAUCCAACUCAGAACCUCAACAAAAUGAGAACGUGCGUACAAAGAAAGCGGUGGAUAUGUGCCGGAUGCAUUAGAUCGCAGGCCUAAAGAACAUCUGCCUCCUCUUCCUACCACCUUCCCCACUGUCCUGCGGUGGUGAGAACCCAUGGAGUGGAGCCUCUAGCCCUUUGGUGUGGAGACAAAGACAGUGAAUGAAAUUCCAGGGACUUGAGUUCUGCUUCCAGUUCUGCUGCCAUUGCAAGAAGUCAGGUAGGCAAUUCCAUUUUCUGAGUCUCAGUUUCCUUGUUUCUUAAACAAGGGGCUUGGAGGACA